AUUGAACGCUGGCGGUAGGCCUAACACAUGCAAGUCGAACGGCAGCACAGGGGAGCUUGCUCCUUGGGUGGCGAGUGGCGGACGGGUGAGGAAUACAUCGGAAUCUACUCUGUCGUGGGGGAUAACGUAGGGAAACUUACGCUAAUACCGCAUACGACCUACGGGUGAAAGCAGGGGAUCUUCGGACCUUGCGCGAUUGAAUGAGCCGAUGUCGGAUUAGCUAGUUGGCGGGGUAAAGGCCCACCAAGGCGACGAUCCGUAGCUGGUCUGAGAGGAUGAUCAGCCACACUGGAACUGAGACACGGUCCAGACUCCUACGGGAGGCAGCAGUGGGGAAUAUUGGACAAUGGGCGCAAGCCUGAUCCAGCCAUACCGCGUGGGUGAAGAAGGCCUUCGGGUUGUAAAGCCCUUUUGUUGGGAAAGAAAUCCAGCUGGCUAAUACCCGGUUGGGAUGACGGUACCCAAAGAAUAAGCACCGGCUAACUUCGUGCCAGCAGCCGCCGUAA
This 506-nucleotide ribosomal RNA is filed under the name uncultured bacterium. Its description in RNAcentral is "partial 16S ribosomal RNA". It matches the Rfam family "Bacterial small subunit ribosomal RNA", at positions 30 to 523 of the family's 1533-position model. The record is from RNAcentral.